RNAcentral lists this ribosomal RNA (468 nucleotides) under uncultured bacterium. RNAcentral's name for it is "partial 16S ribosomal RNA". It matches the Rfam family "Bacterial small subunit ribosomal RNA", at positions 28 to 507 of the family's 1533-position model. The record is from RNAcentral.
GACGAACGCUGGCGGCGUGCUUAACACAUGCAAGUCGAACGGAAAGGCCCUGCUUUUGUGGGGUGCUCGAGUGGCGAACGGGUGAGUAACACGUGAGUAACCUGCCCUUGACUUUGGGAUAACUUCAGGAAACUGGGGCUAUUACCGGAUAGGAGCUCCUGCUGCAGGGUGGGGGUUGGAAAGUUUCGGCGGUUGGGGAUGGACUCGCGGCUUAUCAGCUUGUUGGUGGGGUAGUGGCUUACCAAGGCUUUGACGGGUAGCCGGCCUGAGGGGGUGACCGGCCACAUUGGGACUGAGAUACGGCCCAGACUCCUACGGGAGGCAGCAGUGGGGAAUAUUGCACAAUGGGCGGAAGCCUGAUGCAGCAACGCCGCGUGCGGGAUGACGGCCUUCGGGUUGUAAACCGCUUUCGCCUGUGACGAAGCGUGAGUGACGGUAAUGGGUAAAGAAGCACCGGCUAACUACGUG